This 2074-nucleotide long non-coding RNA is filed under the name Mus musculus (house mouse). RNAcentral describes it as "long non-coding RNA chr8:128367915-128369989". The record is from RNAcentral. Lineage: Eukaryota; Metazoa; Chordata; Mammalia; Rodentia; Muridae.
UGGGGAGCAAUAAAAAUUUCACAGACAUUGGGUUAAAAACAUUAAGAAAAUGAAUGUAAGGCUGCAGAAGGAAAAAAACCUACAAAGGUGGAGCUGGAGAAAGAGGCGCAAUGGAGUCUUUAUGGAUGAGGCCCUGUUCCACUUUGGUUUCUUAAAUCAUGAGGAUUCUUUUCUCUCUCUCAACUUCUACUGCAUCUUCUCACCAUCACCAAUGAUGGGCAUGUUUCUGAAUUCUAUGCAGCUAAAGAAACCUUUCAUUCCUAUAACUCCAUAGAAAUCACAAUGAUUAACUAGAGAUCAUAGUCAAAUCUGGGGGAGGAAGGAUUGAUAAACUAAGUCACAUUGUGUUUCCUUAUUGCUAUUUUUAAAUUUUCCUGUUUAUAAGCUAGGAGACACUACUGAUCCAAUUUACUUUUGAAGAAUACAAGCUCAUUUAUUAAAACUUAAUUUGCCCCUUGUUUUUAAAAUCUGAUUAUCCCUGCAAAUUAAAUUUCAUAAUUUUUUAGUUAUGUAAUUUUACAUAUUUAAAUGACAUAAUUUUACAAAGUCAUUUAUUGGCUGUCCCAUUUUUGUUUCCCUGAUUAAUAUUUCCUAAUUUCAUUCCUGUUGCCCAGCAUGAAUUUUUGCAUCAAGUUUGACUUUUUACUGUUAUAUUAAAAGCUAUAUUUCCUGAGGAAUUGUUUCUGGAUAUGAGUUUGUAUGUAUAUGUUGUAUUUAUGUUGGUAUGUGUGUGUGUGUUUGUGAAAGGGAGAGUAUAUCCAAGACAAGCCCUUCCAUCUAGUCUUUAACUUUUUAGCAUCACUCAGACUAAAACAAUAGCUUUUAUUUUACACAGAUACAUACACACAGACAUGGGCACACACACAUAGUCAUGCCCACACAGAGACUUGCACUGGAAUAGAUACGGGCAUGCACACAAUUAUUGACACAGACACAGACGUGCAUACACACAUAGACAUGCAGCACUCAGACAUGGGCACACAUACACACAGGCAUCAUGCACACACGCAGACAUGGCCUUGCAGAGACAUUGACAUUCACACUUACACAAAGACACACUCUUUCCCUUCUGAUAAGGAGUCCUGUCCUGCUGAAAACUCAGCUUAUUUUUCCCAGUGGCUAAUGUAGAAAUAUCUUAUCUUUACUUAAUAUGUUAACAGGUACCUUAUAACAAACACAAAGUCUCCCAUCUGGAUCUACUUUCUAUGCAAAGGGAAUUCAGAAAAUUCUUCCCGUGUUUGUCUUGAGGCUGGGAGAGGUAUGUCCAUGCUGAAAACAAAACAAAACAAACCAUGAUUGUUGGGUGACUUCCUCAGCAACUCUCCACCUUAUGGUUUAGAGGUAGGCUCUCUUUCAAGUUGAACCUGUAACUCACCAGUUUGACAAGAGUAGCUGUCCAGUGAAUUCCAGGGACCCUCCUAUCUCAUCUUCCCCGCACUGGGUUUGUGGGCUCAGUUUUUCACAUGACUGGUGGGUAUUAAACUCUGUUCUUCUGUUUGCACAGUAAGCACUAUACCAGCUGAGUGGUCUCCCCAGUUCCUCUUCCCUUGUUUUAAUGGAUCAUCUUAUAACUUCUGGUUUUUAUCUUGUGUGACUGUUCAGUGCUUUAUGGGCAAUAUGAAGGGGGCACUGUCAAGUUCUGUUAAAGUGAACGGCUCUUGAGAAAGUAAGAGUGAGGCAUCUUGGGCAAUGUUGGCCAGUACCUGCAGCACCUCUAGUACCACUCAGGCAAGUAACCUUCUACUUUCUUUUGAGUCUUUCCCCUAUUAGCACUGAUUUAAUUUAAACAGGGUGUUUAAUAAAAGGGUUUUCUUCAUUUCCUUUAGUAUAAGUUCUCACACUUGAUAGUGAUGUUUUGAAUGUGUCAAGGUAGGUUUGGCUAGAUAUUUGUGUGAUCUAAAAGAAACAGCCAGGGGUAGAAAGAUGGCUCAGUGGAUGAAGUGCUCCCUCACAAGCUUGAUGGCCCAAAUCCAGUUGCUAGAUUCUAGGUAAAAACACCAACCAUGGAUGCAUACCCUUGUAAUCCUUGCAGUGGCGAGGCAGAUUCUUGGAGCCCACUGUCCAGUCAAUUUAG